GUAGGGAAUCAUCCGCAAUGGGCGAAAGCCUGACGGUGCAACGCCGCGUGAACGAUGAAGGUCUUCGGAUUGUAAAGUUCUGUUGUUAGGGAAGAACAAGUGCCAUUCGAAUAGGUUGGCACCUUGACGGUACCUAACCAGAAAGCCCCGGCUAACUACGUGCCAGCAGCCGCGGUAAUACGUAGGGGGCAAGCGUUGUCCGGAAUUAUUGGGCGUAAAGCGCGCGCAGGCGGUCUCUUAAGUCUGAUGUGAAAGCCCACGGCUCAACCGUGGAGGGUCAUUGGAAACUGGGAGACUUGAGUGUAGGAGAGGAAAGUGGAAUUCCACGUGUAGCGGUGAAAUGCGUAGAGAUGUGGAGGAACACCAGUGGCGAAGGCGACUUUCUGGCCUAUAACUGACGCUGAGGCGCGAAAGCGUGGGGAGCAAACAGGAUUAGAAACCCUAGUAGUCC
RNAcentral lists this ribosomal RNA (451 nucleotides) under uncultured bacterium. RNAcentral describes it as "bacterial SSU rRNA". It matches the Rfam family "Bacterial small subunit ribosomal RNA", at positions 354 to 796 of the family's 1533-position model. The record is from RNAcentral.